GGAAGUAAAAGUCAUAACAAGGUUUCCGUAGGUGAACCUGCGGAAGGAUCAUUAAAGAGAAUAUGCCCUUCGGGGUAGAUCUCCCACCCUUUGUUUAUAUUACCUUUGUUGCUUUGGCAGGCCCGUCUUCGGACCACCGGCUUCGGCUGGUCAGUGCUUGCCAGAGGACCCAAAACUCUUAUUAUUAAUGUCGUCUGAGUACCAUAUAAUAGUUAAAACUUUCAACAACGGAUCUCUUGGUUCUG
RNAcentral lists this unclassified non-coding RNA (245 nucleotides) under plant metagenome. RNAcentral describes it as "partial contains small subunit ribosomal RNA, internal transcribed spacer 1, and 5.8S ribosomal RNA". The stretch from base 1 to 54 matches the Rfam family "Eukaryotic small subunit ribosomal RNA", at positions 1778 to 1831 of the family's 1831-position model. The record is from RNAcentral.